Molecule: ribosomal RNA, 332 nt
Filed under: uncultured bacterium
Lineage: Bacteria
Description: bacterial SSU rRNA
Rfam family: Bacterial small subunit ribosomal RNA
Source: RNAcentral
CGCGUAGGUGGUUCCAUAAGUUGGGCGUGAAAGCCCCCGGCUUAACUGGGGAGGGUCGUUCAAUACUGUGGGACUUGAGGGUGGACGAGGAGACUGGAAUUCCCGGUGUAGUGGUGAAAUGCGUAGAUAUCGGGAGGAACACCUGUGGCAAAGGCGAGUCUCUGGGCCAUUUCUGACACUGAGGCGCGAAAGCGUGGGGAGCGAACGGAAUUAGAUACUCCGGUAGUCCACGCCGUAAACGAUGGGCACUAGGUGUGGUGGGUAUCGACCCCUGCCGUGCCGCAGUUAACACAAUAAGUGCCCCGCCUGGGGACUACGAGCGCAAGCUUAAA